Molecule: ribosomal RNA, 245 nt
Filed under: uncultured prokaryote
Description: partial 16S ribosomal RNA
Rfam family: Bacterial small subunit ribosomal RNA
Source: RNAcentral
UACGGAGGAUGCAAGCGUUAUCCGGAUUCAUUGGGUUUAAAGGGUGCGCAGGCGGAGAGAUAAGUCAGUGGUGAAAAACUGCCGCUCAACGGUAGUCUUGCCAUUGAUACUGUCUUUCUUGAGUAUGGAUGAGGUAGGCGGAAUGUGCAGUGUAGCGGUGAAAUGCAUAGAUAUUGCACGGAACACCAAUUGCGAAGGCAGCUUACUGGACCAUUACUGACGCUCAGGCACGAAAGCGUGGGGAU